RNAcentral lists this ribosomal RNA (207 nucleotides) under uncultured bacterium. Its description in RNAcentral is "partial 16S ribosomal RNA". It matches the Rfam family "Bacterial small subunit ribosomal RNA", at positions 568 to 774 of the family's 1533-position model. The record is from RNAcentral.
CGUGUAGGCGGAGAUGCAAGUUGGGAGUGAAAUCCCGGGGCUCAACCCCGGAACUGCUCUCAAAACUGUAUCCCUUGAGUAUCGGAGAGGCAAGCGGAAUUCCUAGUGUAGCGGUGAAAUGCGUAGAUAUUAGGAGGAACACCAGUGGCGAAGGCGGCUUGCUGGACGACAACUGACGCUGAGGCGCGAAAGCGUGGGGAGCAAACA